AUUGAACGCUGGCGGCAGGCCUAACACAUGCAAGUCGAACGGUAACAGGAAGAAGCUUGCUUCUUUGCUGACGAGUGGCGGACGGGUGAGUAAUGUCUGGGAAACUGCCUGAUGGAGGGGGAUAACUACUGGAAACGGUAGCUAAUACCGCAUAACGUCGCAAGACCAAAGAGGGGGACCUUCGGGCCUCUUGCCAUCGGAUGUGCCCAGAUGGGAUUAGCUAGUAGGUGGGGUAACGGCUCACCUAGGCGACGAUCCCUAGCUGGUCUGAGAGGAUGACCAGCCACACUGGAACUGAGACACGGUCCAGACUCCUACGGGAGGCAGCAGUGGGGAAUAUUGCACAAUGGGCGCAAGCCUGAUGCAGCCAUGCCGCGUGUAUGAAGAAGGCCUUCGGGUUGUAAAGUACCUUCAGCGGGGAGGAAGGGAGUAAAGUUAAUACCUUUACUCAUUGACGUUACCCGCAGAAGAAGCACCGGCUAACUCCGUG
Molecule: ribosomal RNA, 490 nt
Filed under: uncultured bacterium
Lineage: Bacteria
Description: partial 16S ribosomal RNA
Rfam family: Bacterial small subunit ribosomal RNA
Source: RNAcentral